GCCCCCAUCGUCUAGAGGCCUAGGACACCUCCCUUUCACGGAGGCGACGGGGAUUCGAAUUCCCCUGGGGGUACCA
RNAcentral lists this transfer RNA (76 nucleotides) under Candidatus Melainabacteria bacterium. RNAcentral describes it as "tRNA-Glu". It matches the Rfam family "tRNA". From Rfam's summary of the family: Transfer RNA (tRNA) molecules are approximately 80 nucleotides in length. Their secondary structure includes four short double-helical elements and three loops (D, anti-codon, and T loops). The record is from RNAcentral. RNAcentral also lists the same sequence under 6 other names. Lineage: Bacteria; Bacillati; Candidatus Melainabacteria.